UGUAACAUCCUUAAUGAAAUAUUUGACCUGCUUGUUUUUUAUCUGUGAAGUUUCCCUGUGCAAUCCAAUGCAUUUUUUUUUUUUGCCUAGUACGCCGUCAAAACUACAUUUCUUAUAGCUGUUAGUAAUGCACUUCAUGUGAUUCCUUUCAGGGUACUUCUGUAACUCUGUUCCCAGAUUUAGCAAGCAAUCUUUAGGAAUCACAUUAUGUUUUUGGAGUUAUCAUUGCCUAAGACUUUUCAAUUAUUUUUAUUUUGUGGGUUCUUUAAUUACAACAAAACCACUUGCUUGUGAUCCUUCGAGCUUGCCCAAAUAUCCUCCGAGCAAAGAGUUCGAUGCAAAAAUACGGGAUGAGGAAGCUAGAAGAUGGACGGAAUGGAUUCGAUUAAAAAACUCUGAGUGGACCCCACAAGGCCCAAGAGGCACAUUGCUCUAUCUGCCACAGACUACCGAUGGGUUUUAACCCUUCCUUACGCCAAAAGCCCUACAGUGCCUCAUUUUGCAUCUCCAUUGCGUCUCCGUCUCCGUCUCCGUCUCCCUCUCUCAAUCUCCCUCUCUUUCGAUCUUCCGAUCUCAACCCUCUCUCUCGAUCUCCCUCUCUCUCCCUCCCUCUCUCAAUCUCCCUCUUGUUCUGUGUAACAGGUGUGGAGCCUCUAGCACAAGUGGUGAAUGCGCCAGCUGCUGCAGAUCAGGGCCAAGCUGCUACUCCAGCAGUGGUCAUUGCUCUAGGCCUUGUGGUAAUCUGCUUGCAGCCGCCAGGGCGAAGAAUCGUGGCUGUCGAGUUCUGUAAUGGCAUCAACGACCUCAACAAUGUCAUCUUUCUGGAGGUCCGUGGAAGCUCUGCCAAGGUAUUUUUGUAAUUCCACCAUCUUUCCUGCCUUUUUGUCGUUCUAAUCGGUGAUUCAGGAGUUACGAAGUCAAAUCCGCUCUCGAGGUUCACCAGGAAUGAGUUCAAGUCGACGAUUGGGGUCAAGUUUGCAACUCGGAGCUUGAACGUUGACAAGAAGGUCACCAAAGCUUAGAUUCGGGAUCUUUAGUUGGGUCCCAUUUGCCACCCAAUGAUGAGUAUUUGUAGCUAGAUCAUUAAAGCAUGAUCUAGCCCUAAGCUUCCUCCUCGACACAACACAGCGUAGGUCUAUAGCUAUCAUAUGGUUGAAGGGGUGAUUGGAGCUUGGCUGGCGGAUGUGUUAGUAGCUGUUAUGUGGCUGGUGGAUCUAUCUAGUUGUAGGGUGAUCUUCAAUCUUUUUGUAUUAGUAGCUUAGGAAUGCUGAAAGCAACCCACAAAAUGCUGAAUCCAGCAUUUUCUUGGUCAAAUUCCAACAACUUCAGGUUUAGGCAGCAAUUCAUGGCAGUGGUGGUAAUAGAACUUCUGUUUCUGAGGGCUUGGAACGUCUGCCAUUUAUAUUCACUUUUAAGGCAGCAGUGGGUGAGCCCUGUAUGAAGAUUCAGUUUAGAGUCUCAUCUUUUGCAAUUCUCUUACUUGAGAAGGGAACACAGGAAAUGGCGAAAGGGUGGGAAGCUGAUCUUCUCAUUUGAUGCAACAAAGAAAGCUCGCUUUGUACUCCCACGAUAUGCAAAAGAUGAACUUCAAAUCAGAUGGUUUGAGCUCCCAAAUUGCUUUUAUCUUCCAUAAUGGUACAAUUACAAGUUGGGGCAUAGGUUAUUCAAUGGUUCGUACAUUUGGAGUCAGACAUAUCACUUCGAAGCAUCUCCUUAUCCUGGACAAGAUUCUUUACAGCGUGUAGUAAUUUUUCGUGACAUGGGAAAGGUGGGAAGCGCCUUGUUCCUGUGGGUCUAGGAGAUGAUGAUCAAUGCAUUGAGGGAGCUUCACACGUCAUCUCUGCAAAGCUAUAAUUUAAAGUGCUAGCCUCUACUAUAGCUUAUUUUGUAAAUUUGAUUUUGCAAUGAAACAUCUUCAAGCACAUUAUUUUCUUAUGUUUUUCUUUGGAUUAAUCUCUAUUUUGAUGGAAUGCAAUAUACUUUUGUUAA
Molecule: RNA transcript, 1989 nt
Organism: Magnolia sinica
Lineage: Eukaryota; Viridiplantae; Streptophyta; Magnoliopsida; Magnoliales; Magnoliaceae
Exons: 10
Source: RefSeq, a predicted model, not a curated record